Molecule: ribosomal RNA, 253 nt
Filed under: uncultured bacterium
Lineage: Bacteria
Description: partial 16S ribosomal RNA
Rfam family: Bacterial small subunit ribosomal RNA
Source: RNAcentral
UACGGAGGGUGCGAGCGUUAUCCGGAAUUACUGGGUUUAAAGGGUGCGUAGGCGGCUAUGUAAGUCAGGAGUGAAAGUUUGCGGCUCAACCGUAAAAUUGCUUUUGAUACUGCACGGCUAGAAUUAGGAUGAGGUCAGCGGAAUGUGGCAUGUAGCGGUGAAAUGCAUAGAUAUGCCAUAGAACACCAAUUGCGAAGGCAGCUGGCUAGACCUGGAUUGACGCUGAGGCACGAAAGCGUGGGGAGCGAACAGG